AUGUGGUGGUUUUUUGCAAUUAACUCGGAUUAUUCUCAUUGUCACACUUUUUAUUUUCUCCAGAAAAUGGUUGCUGUCAGCUUGACAUCCAAAAUGCACACGGUGAAGAUUUUGGUUCUCGACUCUAUCGGUCCUAAUCUUGAUUCGGUUGUUGACUUCCUCAAGUGCUUCCCUUGCUUGCAGAAGCUGUAUAUAUUUCCACAUCGAGGAAAUUAUGUUAAUAAUGUGCAGGAGUAUGACCCACUUGAUCCAAUGGAAUGUCUUGAAGUCCAUCUGAGAAAAGUUGUGUUGAGGAAUUACAAUGGUUACACGAGGUAA
RNAcentral lists this ribosomal RNA (318 nucleotides) under Triticum aestivum (bread wheat). Its description in RNAcentral is "partial small subunit ribosomal RNA". Lineage: Eukaryota; Viridiplantae; Streptophyta; Magnoliopsida; Poales; Poaceae. The record is from RNAcentral.